AUACUUACCUAGCAGGGGAAAUAAUGUGAUUUCGGAGAUGGUUUUUCCUGGGUGUGGUUCAUUCCUUGCACUUUGUGCUGAUCCCUGCGAUUUUCCCAAAUGUGGAUGACUCCACUGUAUAAUUUGUGGUGGUAGAGGACUGCGUUCGCACUUACUCAUG
Small nuclear RNA from Nomascus leucogenys (northern white-cheeked gibbon), 160 nucleotides. Its record names the gene U1. It matches the Rfam family "U1 spliceosomal RNA". From Rfam's summary of the family: U1 is a small nuclear RNA (snRNA) component of the spliceosome (involved in pre-mRNA splicing). Its 5' end forms complementary base pairs with the 5' splice junction, thus defining the 5' donor site of an intron. There are significant differences in sequence and secondary structure between metazoan and yeast U1 snRNAs, the latter being much longer (568 nucleotides as compared to 164 nucleotides in human). NCBI's taxonomy places the organism in Eukaryota, Metazoa, Chordata, Mammalia, Primates, Hylobatidae. The record is from Ensembl.